Molecule: small nucleolar RNA, 81 nt
Organism: Betta splendens (Siamese fighting fish)
Lineage: Eukaryota; Metazoa; Chordata; Actinopteri; Anabantiformes; Osphronemidae
Product: small nucleolar RNA snR60/Z15/Z230/Z193/J17
Source: Ensembl
UUGAUGCAAUGAUGAGCUCAUAGUUCAGCAGAUUAUUGAUGAAGACCAUCUAUUGUCUUUCGCACCUAUCUGAUGUAUCUA